AUUGAACGCUGGCGGCAGGCCUAAUACAUGCAAGUCGAACGGUAACAUAAAAGAAGCUUGCUUCUUUUGAUGACGAGUGGCGGACGGGUGAGUAAUAUUUGGGAAACUACCUGAUAGAGGGGGACAACAGUUGGAAACGACUGCUAAUACCGCAUAAAGCCUGAGGGUGAAAGCAGCAAUGCGCUAUCAGAUGUGCCCAAACGGGAUUAGCUAGUAGGUGAGGUAAAGGCUCACCUAGGCGACGAUCUCUAGCUGGUCUGAGAGGAUGAUCAGCCACAUUGGGACUGAGACACGGCCCAGACUCCUACGGGAGGCAGCAGUAGGGAAUAUUGCACAAUGGGGGGAAACCCUGAUGCAGCGACGCCGCGUGAGUGAAGAAGUGUUUCGGCACGUAAAGCUCUAUCAGCAGGGAAGAAAAUGACGGUACCUGACUAAGAAGCCCCGGCUAACUACGUG
RNAcentral lists this ribosomal RNA (456 nucleotides) under uncultured bacterium. Its description in RNAcentral is "bacterial SSU rRNA". It matches the Rfam family "Bacterial small subunit ribosomal RNA", at positions 30 to 507 of the family's 1533-position model. The record is from RNAcentral.